Lycium barbarum (goji berry) is the source of this 2523-nucleotide RNA transcript. It is a transcript of the gene named protein GRAVITROPIC IN THE LIGHT 1, with no coding region annotated. NCBI's taxonomy places the organism in Eukaryota, Viridiplantae, Streptophyta, Magnoliopsida, Solanales, Solanaceae. The record is from RefSeq and is a predicted model, not a curated record. The transcript is spliced from 3 exons.
AAAAGUGCCACAAGCACAUACCGCCAUCACAUCACAGACAAAGAAGAGAAAGGAGCUUCCACACACAUACCUUCCUUCGAAGGCACCCCAUUCACACACUCCCACCCAUAUUUCUUCUCUCAACUCUCAAUCACAAGCCAAGAAUUUACUUUCAUCUCUGUGUAAACUCUAAGAUACAAUACAUAUACUAUAUGUCUCUACAAUAACACAUGCUAGAAGAAAUGGAAGGCACAACAACAAAACCCCCACAAAUCUCCGACAUGUUUACCAAAUUCGCCCAUGUUGUCCGAACCAAAACCUUCGAACUCUUCAACGACGAUGAAGAAAACAACAACACCGACACUACCAAUGAUGUCUUUACUCUCCUUAAUUCCACCGAAGAAUUCAUAACUGACCAAAAAGUCGUUGUAAUCAAACCUGAUUUCCAAAAAUACCCUCAGUUAACAAAUACCCAUUUUACUAAAUCCCUUAUUUCUUCACUUUUCGCUACAAUGUCGUCAUUUGAAGCUUCUUAUCUUCAGUUACAAACAGCUCAUGUUCCCUUUGACGAAAAUGCCCUUGAAUCAGCUGAUAAAGUUUUGGUUUCAGUUCUUCAGAAGUUAACUGAAAUGAAGAAUUUGUAUAAGGAAUUUAGAAGAAACCCAAGUUGUAAUAUUGAUGUUCUUGUAGGGUCAGAAUUGGAAUUUCAGGUACAAGAGCAUCAGAGCAAGCUCAGAGUUUUGGAGACUAUGGUAAAUCAGUUACUUUCUUAUAUGGAGUCUAAAGAUGAUGAAGUUUCAAUUUUGAAGAAGAAAUUGGAUAAAUUGCAAGAUUUUAAUUUGGGGUUGUCAAGAAAGUUAGGGGUGAAAAAUGAAAAAUUGAAUAAUAGUAGUACGGAGAUAUUAUGUACAGUUCGUGUUUUUGAAUCUAUGUUACGCGAUUCGAUUAAGUCAGCGAACAAAUUUACUAAGUUAUUGAUGGAGUUAAUGAAAAGGGCAGGUUGGGAUUUGGAGAAAGCAGCAAAUUCUGCGUAUUCUGAUGUUAGUUAUGCAGAAAAAGAACACCAUAAAUAUGCAUUUUUGUCAUAUAUUUGUUUGGGCAUGUUUAAAGGUUUUGAUCUAGAAGAUUACGGUUUGUGUGAUGAAGAAGUAUCUGGUGAGAAUGAUUAUUUGAAACAAUUACUUGAGCAUGUUUCAUGUAAUCCAAUGGAGAUAUUGAGUAUUAAUCCUAGUUGUGCAUUUUCAAGAUUUUGCGAGAAGAAGUACGAGCAGAUAAUUCACCCGACAAUAGAAUCAUCGAUAUUCAGAAAUUUGGAGGGGAAAGAAGUCAUAGUGGAUUCAUGGAAGUCGUUAAGUGUGUUUUACGAGUUGUUUGUAAGGAUGGCUAGUACAAUAUGGUUGCUUCAUAAGUUGGCUUACUCGUUUAAUCCUAUAGUUGAGAUAUUCCAAGUUGAGAGAGGGGUAGACUUUUCGAUGGUGUACAUGGAAGAUGUUACAAGGAAAAGUCAAUUCCCGUUGAGCAAGACGAGGCCAAAGGUGGGAUUUACUGUGGUGCCUGGGUUUAAAAUUGGGAGGACAGUCAUUCAGACACAGGUUUAUCUAACAGCCUUAAAAUCCAAGGAAUAGGGUAAAACAAAGGAAUCUGUAUAGUGGUCUGCAAGUUUCUUUGCUUUAUUGUGCUUUGGUCCCUCUUAACUUACACCAAGAGAUUCAGAAUUCAAAGAAUUCUUGUCAAAGUGAUAGAUGCUGCUAUCGCCGAGAGAUAAGCCAUUUUAUAUCAUCGCAGAAGUUGGUGUCCUGCCAGCCUGGAUUGCAGAUCCUUUCAUUUGCAAGUUCUACAACAUAUUCUCUUAGCUGUGAGAGAAGUACUCAGUUCAAUGAAUUCUUUGACUAUUUCGCUACACGUCUUAAAGUAUUGAUGUACUUUGCAUCAGUGUUCGUUGUUCUCUAGCGUGUAGUGAAUUGCUGCCAUGGUCACUGGAUGAGUACGCUUGCUAAAUCGUUCUUUGACGGCACUGAUUCUUCAAGUAGAUCAGAGAGAUGCUUACCAUUGCUCCUCCUUUUGCUUUAUUUCGUAAGAUUAAGGGUGUGUUCGGUAUGGAGGAAAAAUAUUUUCCUCCAUACCGAACACACACUAAGUGUAGGAGUUUUUGCUUCUCCGAUGAUCUCAAAUGCUCUUGAGCCGAGGGUCUUUCGGAAAUAGCCGCCCUACCUUUCAAGGUGGGGGUUAGGUCUGCGUACACUCUAUCCUCCCCAGACCCCACUUGGUGGGAUUAUACUGGGCUUCUUGGGCUUGUUGUUGUUGUUGAUGAUCUCAAAUGCCAACAAAGUUCUCUGCUUUCUUGCUUCUGAGUUCUGAUCAUACUAUUAAGUAUUGGACUUUUUGCUUCUCAGUGAACUUAACUUUCAUAUUAAAUUCAUUUGCAAGUGAUGUAUUGUGUGGAACAAUGUCCGGGCAAAACUGUGCAUUAUGUACAAUUGUAUAACAUCUACUAUGAGGACUUAAGCAAACUAUUGAUUCAACUUUAAUCUUUUCUGCAUAUGG